AUAAAAGCGAAGAAAGGACACAAGUAGUGACUUAUCUCCCUGUUUUAAGAGAGCUGAUGGUGGGUGCAAAUCAGUACACAGAUAAGCAUGAAUUACACUCCUGGAGCUUCUUUUUCUCAAAAUUUCCUUUGAGAAAAAGACGGUCGUGCACGGAUCGUUAUCCAAAUGAGUGGUGAGUGUUUUUGCUCACAAUUAGGGUGGUACCGCGAUACAUUCGUCCCUGCU
This 225-nucleotide non-coding RNA is filed under the name Caldibacillus thermoamylovorans. RNAcentral's name for it is "Bacillus thermoamylovorans T-box sequence". It matches the Rfam family "T-box leader". Rfam says of the family: Uncharged tRNA acts as the effector for transcription antitermination of genes in the T-box leader family. T-boxes are found upstream of many aminoacyl-tRNA synthetase genes and some amino acid biosynthetic genes usually in Gram-positive bacteria. The anticodon of a specific tRNA base pairs to a specifier sequence within the T-box motif, and the NCCA acceptor tail of the tRNA base pairs to a conserved bulge in the T-box antiterminator hairpin. Lineage: Bacteria; Bacillati; Bacillota; Bacilli; Caryophanales; Bacillaceae. The record is from RNAcentral.